Molecule: non-coding RNA, 524 nt
Organism: Monodelphis domestica (gray short-tailed opossum)
Lineage: Eukaryota; Metazoa; Chordata; Mammalia; Didelphimorphia; Didelphidae
Source: RefSeq, a predicted model, not a curated record
GUUCACUUCUUCUGCACGCUGAAUUCGAAGCUCGCCUCCCAAGCUUCCCCGCAUCUCCGGCGCCAGAACGACCCACGAUUAAGAUUCCCCCCACUACUGUGGGGGAAGCUCAGCCCUUCUACUGAAGGCUUGAGGUCGAGGUUGGCCUGAGGCUGCCAGUUGCAGUUUUGGAGGCAGGCGCCACCCCGCAGGCGACUUCCAGUUUCUACGCUCUGGGCGCCGGGGGGAAGACGGCACACUCACUCGGUCCGGAGUCACGUGCAGAGUGCGGCUAGCACUCGAAUCGGCAAGCAAGGAGAUAGUGACCCAUGUAUCCAGGAUCUUCUCAAUAGACUAAAGUGGAGAGUAUUCUUUGUCAUAAGUCCUUCAGACUGCUCCUGGAUCCUGGAUCAUACUGCUGAGAGUAGCCAAGUCUUAUCACAGGACCGUUUCAUAGCAUAUGAAGAGGAGGAAAUCAUGCUACUAAUCCUGGAUUGAGCAGCAACAGGAGGAGAGAUCAAAUUAUUUGAAAGCAGAAGGUAAUG